CUUUUCAUUCAAAAUAGAUAUUCUCUCUCUUUUGAUCAGAAAGCUGAUUCGAUUUGAUCGGAGAUUCUCUGUUCAAGUUUCUCUCUCCGCCGCCAGCUUCCAAUUGAUCUUGGUCUCUCUACGACGAUCUGAAAUCUCAGUUUUGGAUCUUCAAUCCAAAGCUUUGUUCUCUUUUUCUCGAUCUCUGGCACCAUCGCUCUUCGCCUUGAUCACGUCACUUUUUCUUCUUCUUCGUCUUCCGCCGUGAUCAAGCCGAAACACGUCGCCCUUAGUGAGAAUGGAAGGAUUGAAAUUGCAGGGAUCAGAUUAUGAACAAGGCGAGGUCCUACUGGUUCAGCCAGAAGGCCACCAAGGAGAUCUCCUCCGUCGACGAUGACAUCAAGGAAUUUAUGAUGAUAUGAACUUGGGAUUUUACCUUGUUGCAUAUGAUGACAUUGGGGGCAUUUCCUACCAAAAGGCUUGCGACUUGUCUAGUCACAUUUGCAGUUUCACUCGGGUUAUCAGUAAGCACCCAAUCUUUUGGUCUACACGCCCUAAUUUUUCCGAGUCUCUGUUUGUCCCAAAGGAAGAAAGUUUAUAUAAUAGUCGCAUACAUAUUCGACAAAAUGUCGUGGCAGAUCACAUUCACCAGCUCACAAGAAUUGAAGUGGUCUCUCGGAUUCUUUGAAGUUAUCGGUUACUUAAUACUUUUACACCUAAUAGGCUUUUUAAUUGGCCUUCCAUGACGCAGUAAUUUCCUUUGUUGAAGUUAAGACAUUAUAUAAUAGGUUUACUGUAAUCAUAUAGCCUGAAUUUUGUCUCCAGCAAUUUAGUUAAUGAGUUUCAGAAACUAUGUCAUGUAUUUUCUUUGCAAAUGUAAUGUAUUUCCAUCUAAUUGUUUUUCAAAUAAAGUGGUUAUAUCUAUUUUAAGACAA
This is a long non-coding RNA of Rosa chinensis, 914 nucleotides long. RefSeq lists it as uncharacterized. The record is from RefSeq and is a predicted model, not a curated record. The transcript is spliced from 2 exons. NCBI's taxonomy places the organism in Eukaryota, Viridiplantae, Streptophyta, Magnoliopsida, Rosales, Rosaceae.